GGAAGUAAAAGUCGUAACAAGGUUUCCGUAGGUGAACCUGCGGAAGGAUCAUUAUCGAUUCCAUUCUGAAGAGGUAGAGAGACUGUGGCUGGCCGUCUAUAUACCUACCUAUAAGACCGCAUGUGCACGUCCCCUCGCCUUUUCUAUCUACACACACCUGUGCACCUAUUGUAGAUCCCCAUCCCCUUUUGCCUUUGAAAGAGGGAGGGAACCUAUGUUUUUCAUCACAUCACACACAAUUGUAUGUCUAGAAUGUAAUUUCAUUGAUCAUUGAUCAAUGAUAAAAAUAUAAUACAACUUUCAGCAACGGAUCUCUUGGCUCUCGCGUCGAUGAAGAACGCAGCGAAUUGCGAUAAGUAAUGUGAAUUGCAGAUUUUCAGUGAAUCAUCGAAUCUUUGAACGCACCUUGCGCUCCUUGGUAUUCCGAGGAGCAUGCCUGUUUGAGUGUCAUUUUAAUCCUCAACCAUUCUUUCUUCUUUCUUGGAUGGAAAGUAUGGCUUGGAGUUGGGAGUUGCUGGCAGAAACUGAAACUGUCAGCUCUCCUUAAAUGCAUUAGCAAUCGAGUUGGCUAGUCUUUGACGCGCACGGCCUCGGACGUGAUAAUGAUCGUCGUAGCUGGAGCGUCUUUCCUAGACUGUGCACACAUGGUAGAUUUGCUUCUAAUCAGAAGAGAUAAGAGUUAGCUUAGCUACUAGGCAGUCGAACUAUUUAUUUAUUUGACUGGCGAACACAAGCAAAAAAUCUUGAUCUUGAUCUUUGACUUGACCUCAAAUCAGGUAGGACUACCCGCUGAACUUAAGCAUAUCAAUAAGCGGAGGA
Molecule: ribosomal RNA, 819 nt
Filed under: Butyriboletus appendiculatus
Lineage: Eukaryota; Fungi; Basidiomycota; Agaricomycetes; Boletales; Boletaceae
Description: eukaryotic LSU rRNA
Rfam family: 5.8S ribosomal RNA (bases 296-450)
Source: RNAcentral